RNAcentral lists this ribosomal RNA (253 nucleotides) under uncultured bacterium. Its description in RNAcentral is "partial 16S ribosomal RNA". It matches the Rfam family "Bacterial small subunit ribosomal RNA", at positions 524 to 776 of the family's 1533-position model. The record is from RNAcentral.
UACAGAGGGGGCAAGCGUUAUUCGGAAUUAUUGGGCGUAAAGGGCGCGUAGGCGGCUUCGCAAGUGACGGGUGAAAUCCCUCGGCUUAACCGAGGAACUGCCUGUCAAACUGCGUGGCUUGAGACCAGGAGAGGUGAGUGGAACUGCGAGUGUAGAGGUGAAAUUCGUAGAUAUUCGCAAGAACACCAGUGGCGAAGGCGGCUCACUGGCCCGGUACUGACGCUGAGGUGCGAAAGCGUGGGGAGCAAACAGG